RNAcentral lists this ribosomal RNA (484 nucleotides) under uncultured bacterium. Its description in RNAcentral is "partial 16S ribosomal RNA". It matches the Rfam family "Bacterial small subunit ribosomal RNA", at positions 29 to 507 of the family's 1533-position model. The record is from RNAcentral.
AUUGAACGCUGGCGGCAUGCUUUACACAUGCAAGUCGAACGGCAGCGCGGGCUUCGGCCUGGCGGCGAGUGGCGAACGGGUGAGUAAUGCAUCGGAACGUGCCCAGUAGUGGGGGAUAGCCCGGCGAAAGCCGGAGUAAUACCGCAUACGACCUGAGGGUGAAAGCGGGGGACCGAAAGGCCUCGCGCUAUUGGAGCGGCCGAUGCCGGUUUAGCUAGGUGGUGGGGUAAAGGAUUACCAAGGCGACGAUCCGUAGCUGGACUGAGAGGACGACCAGCCAGACUGGGACUGAGACACGGCCCAGAGUCCUACGGGAGGCAGCAGUGGGGAAUUUUGAGCAAUGGGGGGGAACCUGAUCCAGCCAUGCCGCGUGCGGAAAGAAGGACUUCGGGUUGUAAACCGCUUUUGUUCGGGAAGAAAUCCUCUGGGCUAAUACCCCGGGGGGAUGACGGUACCGGAAGAAUAAGCACCGGCUAACUACGUG